This 253-nucleotide ribosomal RNA is filed under the name uncultured bacterium. RNAcentral's name for it is "partial 16S ribosomal RNA". It matches the Rfam family "Bacterial small subunit ribosomal RNA", at positions 524 to 776 of the family's 1533-position model. The record is from RNAcentral.
GACGGAGGGGGCUAGCGUUGUUCGGAAUGACUGGGCGUAAAGGGCGCGUAGGCGGUUUUUUAAGUGAGGCGUGAAAGCCCUGGGCUUAACCCAGGAGGUGCGUUUCAUACUGGGAAACUUGAGUGCGGGAGAGGAAAGUGGAAUUCCUAGUGUAGAGGUGAAAUUCGUAGAUAUUAGGAAGAACACCGGUGGCGAAGGCGGCUUUCUGGCUCGCAACUGACGCUGAGGCGCGAAAGCGUGGGGAGCACACAGG